GGGCACAUGGUGGUUUAGUGGUUUGCACGUUUGCCUCACACCUCCAGGGUUGGGGGUUCGAUUCCCACUGUGGCCC
Ameiurus melas (black bullhead) is the source of this 76-nucleotide non-coding RNA. NCBI's taxonomy places the organism in Eukaryota, Metazoa, Chordata, Actinopteri, Siluriformes, Ictaluridae. The record is from the annotation of a GenBank genome assembly.